RNAcentral lists this ribosomal RNA (484 nucleotides) under uncultured bacterium. RNAcentral describes it as "partial 16S ribosomal RNA". It matches the Rfam family "Bacterial small subunit ribosomal RNA", at positions 30 to 507 of the family's 1533-position model. The record is from RNAcentral.
AUUGAACGCUGGCGGCAGGCCUAACACAUGCAAGUCGAGCGGAUGAAGGGAGCUUGUUUCUGGAUUCCGCGGCGGACGCGUGAGUAUUGCCUAGGAAUCUGCUUGGUAGUGGGGGAUAACGUCCGGAAACGGGCGCUAAUACCGCAUACGUCCUGCGGGAGCAAGUGGGGGGUCUUCGGACCUCACGCUCUCAGAUGAGCCUAGGCCGUAUUAGCUAGUUGGUGGGGUAAAGGGCUACCAAGGCGACCAUCCGUUACUGGUCUGUGAGGAUGGUCAGUCACACUGGAGCUGGACCACGGUCAAUAGGCCUGCGAUACGGAGCAGUGGGGAAUAUGAGACAAUGGGCGAGAGCAUGGUCCAGCCGGGCGGCGUGUGUGAAGAAGGUCUUCCGAGUGUAAAGACCGUUAAGUGGUGGUAAACCGCAGUAACUUGAGACCUAGCGUUAGUGACGUUACCAGCUAAAGAAGCACCGGCUAACUACGUG